GACGAACGCUGGCGGCGUGCCUAACACAUGCAAGUCGAACGGGGAGUUAUUUAUAACUCCUAGUGGCGAACGGGUGAGUAACGCGUAGACAAUCUGCCUCUAAAUUGGGGACAACACCGCGAACGUGGUGCUAAUACCGAAUGUGGUAACUUGGUCGCAUGACUACGUUGAGAAAGACGGCUUCUAUCUGCAAGCUAUCGAUUAGAGAUGGGUCUGCGUCUGAUUAGCUAGUUGGUGAGUGAAUGGCUCACCAAGGCGACGAUCAGUAGCCGGUCUGAGAGGAUGAACGGGCACACUGGGACUGAGACACGGCCCAGACUCCUACGGGAGGCAGCAGUGGGGAAUCUUCCGCAAUGGACGAAAGUCUGACGGAGCAACGCCGCGUGAGUGAAGAAGGUCUUCGGAUUGUAAAGCUCUGUCGUUUGGGACGAACGUGGAUUGUGUGAAUAAUGCAGUCUAAUGACGGUACCAAAGGAGGAAGCCACGGCUAACUACGUGCCAGCCGCCGCAGUAA
Molecule: ribosomal RNA, 514 nt
Filed under: uncultured bacterium
Lineage: Bacteria
Description: partial 16S ribosomal RNA
Rfam family: Bacterial small subunit ribosomal RNA
Source: RNAcentral